This 83-nucleotide small nucleolar RNA is filed under the name Podiceps cristatus (great crested grebe). RNAcentral describes it as "Small nucleolar RNA SNORD45". It matches the Rfam family "Small nucleolar RNA SNORD45". Rfam says of the family: U45 belongs to the C/D class of snoRNA which contain the C (UGAUGA) and D (CUGA) box motifs. Most of the members of the box C/D family function in directing site-specific 2'-O-methylation of substrate RNAs. The record is from Rfam by way of RNAcentral. Lineage: Eukaryota; Metazoa; Chordata; Aves; Podicipediformes; Podicipedidae.
GGUCUGUGAUGGGUUUUGGCAUGUAUUAUCAGCGUAUAAAUGUGAAGAUUAUCAGUUUAGCUCUAGAUUUACUCUGAGACCUG